AUAAACUCCUAUCUCACAUGCACAAACACUAAACAUCAUCAACUCUCUCAAAGGCAAAGAUCCGCCAUGGAACAUUCUCCCACCUUCCUCCUCCUCCUCUCCACCGUCCUCCUCCUCCUCCUCGCAGCCACUCCCGGAACCCUAUCUCAACCAGCCGCAGCUCCGGCCCCACCAGGACCCACAAACGUCACCAAAAUCCUCGAAAAGGCUGGCCAGUUCACUAUCUUCAUUCGACUACUCAAAUCCACCGGCGU
RNAcentral lists this long non-coding RNA (254 nucleotides) under Eutrema salsugineum. RNAcentral describes it as "long non-coding RNA (ESAL_LNC001142)". Lineage: Eukaryota; Viridiplantae; Streptophyta; Magnoliopsida; Brassicales; Brassicaceae. The record is from RNAcentral.